Long non-coding RNA from Cucumis melo (muskmelon), 2351 nucleotides. RefSeq lists it as uncharacterized. Lineage: Eukaryota; Viridiplantae; Streptophyta; Magnoliopsida; Cucurbitales; Cucurbitaceae. The record is from RefSeq and is a predicted model, not a curated record. The transcript has 5 exons.
CUUUUCUUUCUCACUAUGCCAUGCCGCAUGAUUUUUUCCAUCUUUCAAUUUCUUCUAUCUCUUCUCAAUCUCACUUUCAACCCUCUCUUCUCCGACGAACAAUCACCGCACCCAUAGUUGUCAUCGUCCUUCGUGCCCACCCACCGCCGCGUCUGUCACCAUUGUGCUCAUUCAUCGUCUAUUUGUCGUCCUUGUUUCUCACGUUUGUGUGUUCGUGCCCAACCCUUUCCAUCGACCAUUAGCCGCUAAAUAGCUUUUCCCACUCUUUCGUAACUUCAUCGGCGUUAUUUCUUCUCGUUCUUGUUGUGAAAUGUCAUUUUUUAUACUUGAGUUCUUUUUUCCGUAUGAAAUUGGAGAAUAUAGUUUCAUUCGAGGUUGGGGAUUUUCUUUUAUGUUAAAGCAUUUGAGUGUGGUUUUAUCCUUUUAGAUGUGUGGUUUUAUUCAUUUUCUAAGCAUUUUAGGUUUUCUCCAUAUGUUUGUGCAAAAUGGAACUUUGGGUAAAACUAUUAUAUGAUGGAUAUUUACUGGAAUCUUUGUUAAUAAUUUGUCUUCAUGUGAGUCUAUUGAUGAUUAAUUUAUCUCUACUUUAUUUCUUUGAUUUAGUGGAUUUCGUGUUUGGUUAAAAUAUGUUCCUAUGAUUGCCUUUAGGAUUGACAAUGGACCCUUCAAGGUAAGGAAAAGUUCUGCAAUGUCCAUGAACAUUUCUCAGUUAUUCUUCUUCUCUAUUUCUAUGUCCAAACAAAUAAUUUUAUGAGUUGUGUAUUGUUUACUCAAUGGAUUUAAUGGUCUUUCAUGAAGGCCGCUAUGCAAAAAUUUAGUGCGAAGAUUGUUAGUAUGAUGAAGGGGGAGAAGUUAUAUCAUGGCCAAGGAGGACCUGUUAUUCUUUCUUAGGUUGAGAAUGAAUAUGGACCAGUGGAAUGAGAAAUAUGUACCCCUGGUAAAUCUUACACCAAAUGGUCUGCUCAAAUGGCAUUAAGUCUUGACACUGGAGUACCAUGGGUGAUGUGCAAACAAGAGGAUGCCCUUGACCCUGUGGUAAGCUACUUUGAACCCUUUCUGUCACUGGUUUCUUUUCCCUUCUUGGGAUUCCAUUGGUGUUAAGGAACAUGUACUAGGUUGUUUGUGCAACUUCUCAUUUAUGAAAUAUUCAAGGUUCACUGAGUUUGGAGGUCCAGUUCCUUAUAAACCGGUUGAAGACUUAGCUUAUGUUGUUUCAAGAUUCAUUCAAAAUCGUGGUUCUCUCAUUAAUUAUUAUAUGGUAAAGAACAUAUAGUAAUUGACAGAGUAUUUAUGGUAUAUGACAAAGUAAGAAAUCAUCCACCUGUCACAGUUUUGUGGAUAGAGUAAGAAAUCCUCCACCCAUCACAGUUUUGUUCUUUGUUGAAUAUUUUAUUGAAAAAUAUUGUAAUAAAUCGACUAUAUCUUACUCUAUGUCAUGUUUAUCUUGCUCAGUAUAAGGUUCGACUCGAAUGAAUGCUUCUUAAAAAAUGGAGAAUGGCCUCUUCUCACCAUCUUUUCAGCAGGGCAUGCUUUGCAUUUGUUCAUAAAUGGCCAACUAUCUGGUACAUGGCAAUAAAUGUGUUUUUCCUCCCUAAAUAUCCUUCAAGCAUCAACUAAAUGAUUCUAAUUCUAACAUCUCAUAAUGUUAUUAUAUUCUGAAUAUAGGAACUGUAUAUGAGGGGUUGGAUAAUCCUAAAUUAACAUUCAACAAAUAUGUUAACUUAAGGCUAGAAGUUAAUAAGCUUUCAAUGUUGAGUGUUGUUGUUGGUUUCAUGGUUAGUUGCUUUGGUUUUCUAUUUCAACCGUUUCUUUAAACGUUAUGGUGAAGUUCAAAGUUUGAUUCUCCAAAUAUCCUAAUCUGUUGAUUGACAGAAAUUCGUUUUUCUUAAGUUGAUUUAACACAGGGCUUGAUCAAUUACUAUCUCACAGUUUCUGUAAGUCAUUAGGACCAAUUGCUCAAUCAUUUACUGUAUAGCAAGCAGAGCAUAGCGUACAAGAGUCGACCGCAACUUUUGAAGAAUUAGCAAGAGUUCAGUGGUGUUAAAACUUUGCUCUCAAAAUAUCAAAUAUGUUGGAACUCUGGAGUAAGUGCAAGCUAUUCUAUAAGAAUGAUUGAAGUUAUAUCAGGUUGAAAGCUGAGCGAUUGUGUAGAUAGCCAGACGAUCGUUGAAGGUUGAAGAUUGAAUAUUGAGAAGACGUUUAAAAUUUUUCUUAUUUAUGUCAUGUAUUAGGAUCUUUUUUCAUAUACUGUUGUAGAAUGUAUAUAUAAACACAAUAUUAAGUUUUCAUUUUGUGUAUACAAAUGUAAAAGAUAAAUAUUAUAGUUUCUAAAAUAAUAUUAUAUUUAUUGA